RNAcentral lists this ribosomal RNA (372 nucleotides) under Goffeauzyma gilvescens. RNAcentral's name for it is "partial small subunit ribosomal RNA". It matches the Rfam family "Eukaryotic large subunit ribosomal RNA", at positions 48 to 413 of the family's 3401-position model. Lineage: Eukaryota; Fungi; Basidiomycota; Tremellomycetes; Filobasidiales; Filobasidiaceae. The record is from RNAcentral.
AAGCGGAGGAAAAGAAACUAACAAGGAUUCCCCUAGUAACGGCGAGUGAAGCGGGAAGAGCUCAAAUUUGAAAUCUAGUAGCCUUCGGCUGCUCGAGUUGUAAUCUAUAGAAGUGUUUUCCGUGCUGGCUCAUGUACAAGUCCCUUGGAACAGGGCGUCAUAGAGGGUGAGAAUCCCGUACUUGACAUGAAUCACCAGUGCUCUGUGAUACACUUUCAAAGAGUCGAGUUGUUUGGGAAUGCAGCUCAAAAUGGGUGGUAAAUUCCAUCUAAAGCUAAAUAUUGGCGAGAGACCGAUAGCGAACAAGUACCGUGAGGGAAAGAUGAAAAGCACUUUGGAAAGAGAGUUAAACAGUAUGUGAAAUUGUUAAAA